UCCGGUUUAUCACCGGCAGUUUCCUUAGAGUCCCCGGCCGAACCGUUGGUAACUAAGGAUGAGGGUUGCGCUCGUUGCGGGACUUAACCCAACAUCUCACGACACGAGCUGACGACAGCCAUGCAACACCUGUGUAUAGCCCAGCCGAACUGAGCCCUAUGUUUCCAUAAGAUUUAGCUAUCAUUCAAAGGGUGGUAAGGUUUUUCGCGUAGCAUCGAAUUAAACCACAUGCUCCACCGCUUGUGCGGGUCCCCGUCAAUUCCUUUGAGUUUUAAUCUUGCGAUCGUACUCCCCAGGCGGAGAGCUUAACGCGUUAGCUACGACACCAACAAAAAGCUGAUAUCUAGCUCUCAUAGUUUACAGCGUGGACUAC
This 373-nucleotide unclassified non-coding RNA is filed under the name uncultured Rickettsiales bacterium. RNAcentral's name for it is "contains 16S-23S intergenic spacer region". The record is from RNAcentral. Lineage: Bacteria; Pseudomonadati; Pseudomonadota; Alphaproteobacteria; Rickettsiales.